AGAACACAAUAUUAUAACAUGAAAGGAACAUGACUGAGUGACAUUUGACAAUGACCAAAACAUAGAUAUUUUAUUUUUGCUGCGCUUCAUAGAAGAUCUUGCUAGUGUCAGCGACUAGGUUAUUCCUAACCCAUUCAGCGCCUAUUGACGACAGUAUCUUCUGGCUGGGGGUGUUCUGUUAAGAGCCCCGGCAAUCGUUCUGAACGUUUAAAUGCAUCGCUUACGAGUCCGAUCCCAUCAACAUCUGCAGCGGCAUCAACAUCAAGCUCAGCAUCAGGAACUAAUCUUCUCUCUAAGCCAAAGUUCUGUUCUGUGGAGAAGAUUAAGACUAUUGGCAGCACCUACAUGGCAGCUGCUGGUCUGACCAAUCCUGCUAUAGGGGACGAGCGAAAGGACUGUGAUGUGUCCUACAGCCAUGUACGCAGCAUGGUAGAGUUUGCCGUCGCUCUGAAGAACAACUUGGAGUCCAUCAACCAACACUCCGUCAACAGCUUUAAGCUACGCAUCGGUAGCGUUCUAUCGUUCUGACCUCUCCAACCAAUCAUCAUCACGAUCAUCACGACAAAAAGAGAUUGAGACUUUUACAACUAAACUCCCUUGAUUUGAUAACCAUUUUAUUUUUGGCAGUGAAACGAGGCUACUCAGGAGAGAGAAAAAACAUCGCCCAAAUGUUAUAGCCCUGUCGGAAAAUAGAAAUGUACUGUUUGAAAAUGUGAAGAAGAAAAAAAAGAAAAUGAUUUGGCGUACCCCCGACGGCAUUGCACGUUUGAGAAUAGCUGCUGUAGACCCAUUGGAUGAAAGCUUUCAGCCGGGAACAAGCUCAACAUCACCUGACUCUGAAGAGGAAAAGACUGCGUAGGCCUGGCAAAGCCAAAGUGUAUAGUCUAUGUCCAAGAUCAUGACCAGCUGCCGUUGCCCGACACAAGACGACGUUCACCAGCUGAAGAACACUCAGGAGCCCGACCUUUAACAUUCAGCCAACACAACAUCCAUAUUCACUUAGACUGAUGUGUAGCAUAAUAUAGAAUGCCUAGUAUGCUCACAACUGCAUUGUGCGGAAGACACAUUUCAGUUGAAUACAUUCAGUUGGACAACUGACUAGGUAUUCCCCUUUCCCUUUGGUAUAGAAAGCUCUUGUACAUAAAAUAAAUGAUGCAGGGAGCAGAUGUAUCAUUUCAACUUGAAUUUGUUGGCAAGCAAACAUGCUUCAAUAUAACAGUAGAUUAGUCUGUCAAUAUAACAGUAGAUUAGUCUGUCAAUAUAACAGUAGAUUAGUCUGUCAAUAUAACAGUAGAUUAGUCUGUCAUUGUAGCAAAUAAGUAGACGGCUUGUAUUCAAGACUAUGUUUAUUUACUCUGGAGACCGAGGUGAGUUUACACAACAGUAUGAAGGAACAGUUCUGGCAAUGUACGGCAUAUACAGUGAAUUCGCAAAGUAUUCAGACACCUUGAAUUUGUACCACAAUUUGUUACGUUACAGCAUAUUCUAAAAAUGAUUCAAUUGUUUUUUCCCCCCCUCGUCAAUCUACACACAAUGACCCAAAUGGCACUAAUACAUGUUCCAUGUCUCAGUUGUCUCCCGGCUUAAAAAUCCUUCUUUAAUCUGUCUCCUCCCUUUCAUCU
This is a non-coding RNA of Salvelinus sp. IW2-2015, 1622 nucleotides long. The record is from RefSeq and is a predicted model, not a curated record. NCBI's taxonomy places the organism in Eukaryota, Metazoa, Chordata, Actinopteri, Salmoniformes, Salmonidae.